CGUCACCCCACCACAGCACCGGCCCCGCUGCUCCCCUCGGGGGGCAGAAAUAGGGGAGAGGGAGCAGAGGGAUCCCGCACAACCCAGGUGAUGACCUGAAAAAAUCAUGUCUGAGGUCCAGGGUACGGUCGAGUUUUCUGUGGAGCUACACAAAUUCCAUAAUGUGGACCUCUUCCAGAGAGGGUAUUACCAGAUAAGAGCUGGACUGAAGAUUCCAUCCAGGAUUCCCCACAGG
RNAcentral lists this long non-coding RNA (235 nucleotides) under Gallus gallus (chicken). RNAcentral's name for it is "long non-coding RNA NONGGAT004611". Lineage: Eukaryota; Metazoa; Chordata; Aves; Galliformes; Phasianidae. The record is from RNAcentral.